RNAcentral lists this ribosomal RNA (207 nucleotides) under uncultured bacterium. RNAcentral describes it as "partial 16S ribosomal RNA". It matches the Rfam family "Bacterial small subunit ribosomal RNA", at positions 568 to 774 of the family's 1533-position model. The record is from RNAcentral.
CGCGUAGGCGGUUUGUUAAGUCAGAUGUGAAAGCCCCGGGCUUAACCUGGGAACUGCAUUUGAUACUGGCAGGCUAGAGUAUGGUAGAGGGAAGUGGAAUUCCGGGUGUAGCGGUGAAAUGCGUAGAUAUCCGGAGGAACAUCAGUGGCGAAGGCGGCUUCCUGGACCAAUACUGACGCUGAGGCGCGAAAGCGUGGGUAGCAAACA